Molecule: small nuclear RNA, 329 nt
Filed under: Peromyscus maniculatus bairdii (prairie deer mouse)
Lineage: Eukaryota; Metazoa; Chordata; Mammalia; Rodentia; Cricetidae
Description: 7SK RNA (ENSPEMG00000004072.2)
Rfam family: 7SK RNA
About the family: 7SK was discovered as an abundant small nuclear RNA in the mid-70s but a possible function has only recently been suggested.
Source: Rfam by way of RNAcentral
GAAUGUGAGGGCAAUCUGGCUGCAACAUCUGUUAUCUCGUUGAUCACUAGGGUUGAUUCUCUUGAUCUGGAUGGCUAGAGAGUUCUCCCCUUCCUCCCUUUCUGCUCCAUGUGCAUCCCGCCUGAAGUUUCACACUUGGUCAAACAGGAUGACCUUCCUUAAUAAUGGAGGACCAGUCUUCCAUCACGGGUAUAACAGUGGCUGUGUCCCCAGCUAGAGCCAAACAAACUCUCAAGUUCUUGUAUUUUUGAUAUUAAAGUCUAUGAGUCAUUUUUUUUAUUUUAAUGAAUCCUCUGUGGACCUGAACUUUAUUGGGUGUGAUAUCCUUA